UACGGAAGGCAGCAGUGGGGAAUAUUGCACAAUGGGCGAAAGCCUGAUGCAGCUAUGCCGCGUGUAUGAAGAAGGCCUUAGGGUUGUAAAGUACUUUCAUCGGGGAGGAAAAAACAAAACUAAUAAUUUUAUUUCUUGACGUUACCCGAAAAAGAAGCACCGGCUAACUCCGUGCCAGCAGCCGCGGUAAUACGGAGGGUGCUAGCGUUAAUCAGAAUUACUGGGCGUAAAGAGCACGUAGGUGGUUUUUUUAAAGUCAGAUGUGAAAUCCCUGGGCUUUAACCUAGGAACUGCAUUUUGAAACUGAAAUACUAGAGUAUCGUAGAGGGAGGUAGAAUUCUAGGUGUAGCGGUGAAAUGCGUAGAUAUCUGGAGGAAUACCUGUGGCGAAAGCGGCCUCCUAAACGAAUACUGACACUGAGGGUGCGAAAGCGUGGGGAGCAAACGAGGGAUUAGAUACCCG
RNAcentral lists this ribosomal RNA (462 nucleotides) under uncultured bacterium. Its description in RNAcentral is "bacterial SSU rRNA". It matches the Rfam family "Bacterial small subunit ribosomal RNA", at positions 340 to 789 of the family's 1533-position model. The record is from RNAcentral.